GGGGGGGGAUUCAUUUAUGAACCUCCCGCCAUUUGAUUAGCCCAAGUGACGAUUAGCUAGUUGGUGAGGUAAAGGCUCACCAAGGCGACGAUCUCUAGCUGGUUUGAGAGGAUGAUCAGCCACACUGGGACUGAGACACGGCCCAG
This 146-nucleotide ribosomal RNA is filed under the name uncultured bacterium. Its description in RNAcentral is "partial 16S ribosomal RNA". It matches the Rfam family "Bacterial small subunit ribosomal RNA", at positions 202 to 334 of the family's 1533-position model. The record is from RNAcentral.